This 450-nucleotide ribosomal RNA is filed under the name uncultured bacterium. RNAcentral describes it as "partial 16S ribosomal RNA". It matches the Rfam family "Bacterial small subunit ribosomal RNA", at positions 354 to 796 of the family's 1533-position model. The record is from RNAcentral.
GUGGGGAAUUUUGGACAAUGGGCGCAAGCCUGAUCCAGCAAUGCCGCGUGCAGGAAGAAGGCCUUCGGGUUGUAAACUGCUUUUGUACGGAACGAAAAGGCUCUGGUUAAUACCUGGGGCUCAUGACGGUACCGUAAGAAUAAGCACCGGCUAACUACGUGCCAGCAGCCGCGGUAAUACGUAGGGUGCAAGCGUUAAUCGGAAUUACUGGGCGUAAAGCGUGCGCAGGCGGUUUUGUAAGACAGACGUGAAAUCCCCGGGCUCAACCUGGGAAUGGCGUUUGUGACUGCAAAGCUGGAGUGCGGCAGAGGGGGAUGGAAUUCCGCGUGUAGCAGUGAAAUGCGUAGAGAUGCGGAGGAACACCGAUGGCGAAGGCAGCCUCCUGGGAUAACACUGACGCUCAGGCACGAAAGCGUGGGGAGCAAACAGGAUUAGAUACCCUAGUAGUCA